Nematostella vectensis (starlet sea anemone) is the source of this 728-nucleotide long non-coding RNA. RefSeq lists it as uncharacterized. NCBI's taxonomy places the organism in Eukaryota, Metazoa, Cnidaria, Anthozoa, Actiniaria, Edwardsiidae. The record is from RefSeq and is a predicted model, not a curated record. The transcript has 2 exons.
GAUCCGCAUCUUCUCACUCGUGUCGUAAUCAUCAGAGAAUAAGUCGUACUUGUAAGUGGGGGCGAACCUGAGCUCACCUUCGACAUAGCCACGGAAAACCUGCCAGGAAAAUACGGAUUUAAAAUGGGAAUGCAGUCCUGGUAGCAAUGUCCAGGUAAUCAUUGUUCCGGUCCUGGACACCUGACUGACCCGCAGCAAGAUGGGAGCAGAUGAAGCAGAUGGAAGUAGCAUGUAACAGCAGACGGAUGGCUACUCCACCCUUGUUACCAGCGCUCCCGCCAAGACCUGUUUUUACCGUGGACACAGCGACAUCCCUAUGAACGCAGAAGACAUCAUAAGUCCUUUGAUUGAUCUCUAAGGAACUGGAUACAGUAGCUGAUAAAUAACGCAUUAGAAUAAAUCCACGUGAAAAUGUAUCCUCUUUUUCAAUGGGUUUCUUUCGGUCAAAGCAAAUCCUCUUAAUUUGGAAAUUUAAAUGACCGAAUUUUAACUAAGCAUUGACCUUCUUUAUAUUGUGCUUCUUUAAGGAAGUGUGCAGUCUAUUUAAAGGACUUUCUUUGAAAAGGAACUUACCUUACAAAGGAGAGUAUAAAACAAACAUUGGAAACAUAAGGAGUGACGUGAAGUAUUACGUCAACAUGUAUGCGAGUAGUGAUUUUCUUGUAGUGUCACUUAAUCAUAGAUGGUUAUAUAUCUUUAUGGUGUAUCAAAGAAGCGUAGAAUUCUUA